GACGAACGCUGGCGGCGUGCUUAACACAUGCAAGUCGAACGGAAAGGCCCUGCUUUUGUGGGGUGCUCGAGUGGCGAACGGGUGAGUAACACUUAGGUAACCUGCCCUUGCCUUUGGGAUAACUUCAGGAAACUGGGGCUAAUCCCGGAAAGGAGCUCCUGCUGCCUGGUGGGGGUUGGAAAGUUUCGGCGGUUGGGGAUGGACUCGCGGCUUAUCAGCUUGUUGGUGGGGUGGUGGCUUACCAAGGCUUUGACGGGUAGCCGGCCUGAGAGGGUGACCGGCCACAUUGGGACUGAGAUACGGCCCAGACUCCUACGGGAGGCAGCAGUGGGGAAUAUUGCACAAUGGGCGGAAGCCUGAUGCAGCAACGCCGCGUGCGGGAUGACGGCCUUCGGGUUGUAAACCGCUUUCGCCUGUGACGAAGCGUGAGUGACGGUAAUGGGUAAAGAAGCACCGGCUAACUACGUG
RNAcentral lists this ribosomal RNA (468 nucleotides) under uncultured bacterium. RNAcentral's name for it is "partial 16S ribosomal RNA". It matches the Rfam family "Bacterial small subunit ribosomal RNA", at positions 28 to 507 of the family's 1533-position model. The record is from RNAcentral.